AGCGAACGCUGGCGGCAGGCCUAACACAUGCAAGUCGAACGAACCUUUCGGGGUUAGUGGCGGACGGGUGAGUAACACGUGGGAACGUGCCUUUAGGUUCGGAAUAACUCAGGGACACUUGUGCUAAUACCGAAUGUGCCCUUCGGGGGAAAGAUUAAUCGCCCUUAGAGCGGCCCGCGUCUGAUUAGCUAGUUGGUUGAGGUAAUGGCUCACCAAGGCGACGAUCAGUAGCUGGUCUGAGAGGAUGAUCAGCCACAUUGGGACUGAGACACGGCCCAAACUCCUACGGGAGGCAGCAGUGGGGAAUCUUGCGCAAUGGGCGAAAGCCUGACGCAGCCAUGCCGCGUGAAUGAUGAAGGUCUUAGGAUUGUAAAAUUCUUUCACCGGGGACGAUAAUGACGGUACCCGGAGAAGAAGCCCCGGCUAACUUCGUG
This 434-nucleotide ribosomal RNA is filed under the name uncultured bacterium. Its description in RNAcentral is "partial 16S ribosomal RNA". It matches the Rfam family "Bacterial small subunit ribosomal RNA", at positions 29 to 507 of the family's 1533-position model. The record is from RNAcentral.